GCCCCUGUAGUCCCAGCUACUCAGGAGGCUGAGGCAGAGUGUGUUCUGGGCUGCAGUGCGCUAUGCCCAGCGGGUGUCCGCACUAAGUUCAGCAUCAAUAUGGUGGCCUUCUGGGAGCAGGGGACCACCAGGUUGCCUAAGGAGGGGUGAACUGGCCCAGGUUGAAAACUGAGCAGGUCAAAACUCCCUGUUGACUUUCCUUUCUACUGUGUCUUUAUGACGCUAGGCAGGGAAAGUUCUCUGCUUUU
Molecule: signal recognition particle RNA, 248 nt
Filed under: Rhinolophus ferrumequinum (greater horseshoe bat)
Lineage: Eukaryota; Metazoa; Chordata; Mammalia; Chiroptera; Rhinolophidae
Description: Metazoan signal recognition particle RNA (ENSRFEG00010011057.1)
Rfam family: Metazoan signal recognition particle RNA
About the family: The signal recognition particle (SRP) is a universally conserved ribonucleoprotein. It is involved in the co-translational targeting of proteins to membranes.
Source: Rfam by way of RNAcentral